GAACGCUGGCGGCAGGCCUAACACAUGCAAGUCGAACGGUAACAGGAAGCAGCUUGCUGCUUUGCUGACGAGUGGCGGACGGGUGAGUAAUGUCUGGGAAACUGCCUGAUGGAGGGGGAUAACUACUGGAAACGGUGGCUAAUACCGCAUAACGUCGCAAGACCAAAGAGGGGGACCUUCGGGCCUCUUGCCAUCAGAUGUGCCCAGAUGGGAUUAGCUWGUUGGUGAGGUAACGGCUCACCAAGGCGACGAUCCCUAGCUGGUCUGAGAGGAUGACCAGCCACACUGGAACUGAGACACGGUCCAGACUCCUACGGGAGGCAGCAGUGGGGAAUAUUGCACAAUGGGCGCAAGCCUGAUGCAGCCAUGCCGCGUGUAUGAAGAAGGCCUUCGGGUUGUAAAGUACUUUCAGCGGGGAGGAAGGUGUUGUGGU
Molecule: ribosomal RNA, 433 nt
Filed under: Salmonella enterica subsp. enterica serovar Saintpaul
Lineage: Bacteria; Pseudomonadati; Pseudomonadota; Gammaproteobacteria; Enterobacterales; Enterobacteriaceae
Description: bacterial SSU rRNA
Rfam family: Bacterial small subunit ribosomal RNA
Source: RNAcentral